RNAcentral lists this ribosomal RNA (492 nucleotides) under uncultured bacterium. RNAcentral's name for it is "partial 16S ribosomal RNA". It matches the Rfam family "Bacterial small subunit ribosomal RNA", at positions 29 to 507 of the family's 1533-position model. The record is from RNAcentral.
AGUGAACGCUGGCGGUAGGCCUAACACAUGCGAGUCGAACGGCAGCACAGUAAGAGCUUGCUCUUACGGGUGGCGAGUGGCGGACGGGUGAGGAAUACAUCGGAAUCUACUUUUUCGUGGGGGAUAACGUAGGGAAACUUACGCUAAUACCGCAUACGACCUACGGGUGAAAGCAGGGGAUCUUCGGACCUUGCGCGAUUGAAUGAGCCGAUGUCGGAUUAGCUAGUUGGCGGGGUAAAGGCCCACCAAGGCGACGAUCCGUAGCUGGUCUGAGAGGAUGAUCAGCCACACUGGAACUGAGACACGGUCCAGCCUCCUACGGGAGGCAGCAGUGGGGAAUAUUGGACAAUGGGCGCAAGCCUGAUCCAGCCAUACCGCGUGGGUGAAGAAGGCCUUCGGGUUGUAAAGCCCUUUUGUUGGGAAAGAAAAGCAGCAGGUUAAUACCCCGCUGUUCUGACGGUACCCAAAGAAUAAGCACCGGCUAACUUCGUG